Archocentrus centrarchus (flier cichlid) is the source of this 1318-nucleotide long non-coding RNA. RefSeq lists it as uncharacterized. NCBI's taxonomy places the organism in Eukaryota, Metazoa, Chordata, Actinopteri, Cichliformes, Cichlidae. The record is from RefSeq and is a predicted model, not a curated record. The transcript has 3 exons.
GGAACAAGUCAGUCUGGGAGACAACCUUUCCGAAGCACUUUCAUUACAUGACUCAGUCCCAUCAGAAUGCGCAGAGGAUGAAACUUUAGUCCCAAGCGAAGGAGAAGGACCUACACAUCCACCUCCACUACACCCACCCGGAGGCAUAAGAAGGUCGACUAGGGAGAGGAAGCCUAGACAGAUGCUCACAUAUCAAACUUUGGGUGAACCUUCUUUUCAGCCUCACCCCACUGUUGCAAUGCUUUCCCCACCCUACAUGCCACCAGGGAUGGUUUCCCCUUAUAUUCCAGGACUCUCUGGCUUCACACCUUACCUCCCAUACACUUACGCACCUCACGCAUACAACACACCCUUGCUUUAUUAAAUGUUGUUGUUGUUUGUAAAAUCUUUUGGAAAAAAAAAUUAAGGUUUCAAAUGUCAGGAGCCAUUCUUAUUUUGUCAGGGACCGUGUGACACACCGUAAUGUGUGGUCACAUUAUGUGGUUUGACUUUGUGGUAUUGUGUGAAUUUUGUUUGUAAUUUUGUUAAAUUAGGAUCUUAGUUUUCUGAUUUCUGUUACAAGAUAAAUGGAGUGCUAUCCUGAGUUACGCCACAAGGGGGCACCUUCACCCCAGUGAGAUGGCUUAGUGUGGCUUCCGCUUCCGUCUUCAGACUCAGCAGAAGCGGGAGAAGGAAACACACUGAUGUCGUCCGUCCCAUGAUUUUCCUGUUCUUUUCAGGACAAAAUAUAAUCUGUUGGCAGCCCACUCGCCAGGGGCCUGUUACACUUGACUUUGUCACACAGCUUGUGUUUAAGGGCCUUCGUGAUUGAGCAGCUCUGCAGUAAUCAGGCCUGAGUGUGGCAGUGAGACUGAAGUCAGCUUUCCAACAAUCUGCUUCAUCACAGUUCAUUGAUCAUUGAAGACGAGGGGAAAUGAGUUUUUCCCACAGGGCAGUUGCUGCUGUUGUAGAGAAUUUCCAGCAAACGUGAUAUCUGAGCGCCGCGGAGUCACGUGACCGCGCAGCAACAAACCACAGCAGAGCAGGAAGGAGGGGGCGGAGCAAAGUGCGGCUGCGUGGUUGGAGCGGAGCACAGAGAGAGAGCUGCUUUUUCCUGGAGGAAAAGAAGUGAACUUAGAGGAGAAACAAACUAAAGCAUCGAUCCAACAUCACUACCAACGUUUGUAUCGAUACUGUUGAUACUUGGAUCGAUCCGCGCACCCUGGUCUCCUGGAUCUGACCUGAGAACAGCGUUAAACUCUGUCUGUGGGCUCAGCUAAAGCUGAUUAUCAGGAGGAGGAGAGUCUGACGGAGCAGCAGAGGAACAUUUUCAGCCUCU